This 151-nucleotide ribosomal RNA is filed under the name uncultured fungus. Its description in RNAcentral is "partial 18S ribosomal RNA". It matches the Rfam family "Eukaryotic small subunit ribosomal RNA", at positions 576 to 726 of the family's 1831-position model. Lineage: Eukaryota; Fungi. The record is from RNAcentral.
GCGGUAAUUCCAGCUCCAAUAGCGUAUAUUAAAGUUGUUGCAGUUAAAAAGCUCGUAGUUGAACUUUGGGCCCGGUUGGCCGGUCCGAUUUUUUCGUGUACUGGAUUUCCAACGGGGCCUUUCCUUCUGGCUAACCUUGAGUCCUUGUGGC